UAACUGUCUGGGUCCUCAGAGGGGUCAUUCGGGGCUGAUGAGUGUUUCAGCCUGAGGCAAAGGGGGCAUGUCUCUGCCAAGAGACCGGGCCUGAAGAAGCAUGUUUCUGUGAGACACUAAUGGACACACUAGUGCAACAGAAUGCCUCUACCUGUGUAGUGUUCUGGAACUCUGUGUUUUGGAUUUUGCUCUGU
Long non-coding RNA from Phyllostomus discolor (pale spear-nosed bat), 194 nucleotides. RefSeq lists it as uncharacterized. The record is from RefSeq and is a predicted model, not a curated record. NCBI's taxonomy places the organism in Eukaryota, Metazoa, Chordata, Mammalia, Chiroptera, Phyllostomidae. The transcript has 3 exons.